CCUACGGGGGGCAGCAGUGAGGAAUAUUGGUCAAUGGGCUUACGCCUGAACCAGCCAAGUCGCGUGAGGGAAGACUGCCCUAUGGGUUGUAAACCUCUUUUGUCAGGGAGCAACGCCGGCUACGUGUAGCCGGACUGAGAGUACCUGAAGAAAAAGCAUCGGCUAACUCCGUGCCAGCAGCCGCGGUAAUACGGAGGGGGCAAGCGUUAUCCGGAAUUACUGGGUGUAAAGGGAGCGUAGACGGUAAUGCAAGUCUGGAGUGAAAGGCGGGGGCCCAACCCCCGGACUGCUCUGGAAACUGUGUAACUGGAGUGCAGGAGAGGCAGGCGGAAUUCCUAGUGUAGCGGUGAAAUGCGUAGAUAUUAGGAGGAACACCAGUGGCGAAGGCGGCCUGCUGGACUGUAACUGACGUUGAGGCUCGAAAGCGUGGGGAGCAAACAGGAUUAGAUACCCCAGUAGUC
RNAcentral lists this ribosomal RNA (461 nucleotides) under uncultured bacterium. RNAcentral's name for it is "partial 16S ribosomal RNA". It matches the Rfam family "Bacterial small subunit ribosomal RNA", at positions 338 to 795 of the family's 1533-position model. The record is from RNAcentral.